Podarcis muralis (Common wall lizard) is the source of this 264-nucleotide non-coding RNA. NCBI's taxonomy places the organism in Eukaryota, Metazoa, Chordata, Lepidosauria, Squamata, Lacertidae. The record is from RefSeq and is a predicted model, not a curated record.
CAGGAUGUGAGUCCCCCAGAAACCAGUACUCAGAAACAUGCCUUGCCUGAUGCUGAAGGCCAUACUCCACCAUCGUGACUGGGCACUCUUGCUGGUCACCCAUGCCCCAGAGAUUCAUUCAUCCCUUAUCUGGGGCUGCAAGCUUAAAGUGAACUGACUACAAGUGUGACAUCAGCAAAGAGCAAAAAUUUGGGACAUCUCAGCAAAUAUAGGUAAUCAUUAAGCUGCCUCACUUUAUCCAGAAACAAGCUCCAAAUGAGUUAG